RNAcentral lists this unclassified non-coding RNA (787 nucleotides) under Hevea brasiliensis (rubber tree). Lineage: Eukaryota; Viridiplantae; Streptophyta; Magnoliopsida; Malpighiales; Euphorbiaceae. The record is from RNAcentral.
GAAUUUUCAAGGUUCCUCCGAGCCUUUUGAGUUUUUUUGGGAGAGAUGGGGCAAGAUAAAACCCUUGUUAGACCUUCUUCUCUCCCUCCAAGCAAAGAAAGGCCCUUUCUAGACCUAGAGAGUGUGGGGUCGCUCCUCUUCACCUCUGAGUGGGGUGUAUAUAUUAUUUGGAUUUAGCCUCUAGACCUUUUGCUUUUGGUGAGGGCUUUUGUAGAUCUAUGCUGUGCUUUGGUAUUGAGCUUGGUCAUAGCCGAAGCAAAGAAUGGAUUUUUAUGCAGUGUCCAAAGAUGGCCUUCAGUUGGGGGUUAAAAAUGCUAUUAGAGCCCCUCGCUCAGAGUUUGGCUUUAUUGUAUUCGUUUGGUGAUGUCUCUGUAUUUGGCUCAGUGUUGCUUGCUCAGACUAGGGUUGGACUUAUUACUUUCUCAUGUGGUAAAGGAGGCGACGAUGAAGCUAUUAGAGUACUUCUCUGGGGUCUCUUGAGUUUUACUGUACUAUUCCUUUUAUGUUUUUGGCGUUCACUGGAGUUGGUUGUUUUGACUCUUGUUCUACUAAGAGGUGGUGUUGGUGGUUGUGGAUUUACGCCUAUAGGGUGUUUUCAUCUCGGUUGCCGAUGGUGCUCUGUAAGGAAUUGCGGUGAAGAUCCUUACACUCCUUCUUAGGAAAGCUUCUAGAGUUUCUUACUAGAAGCCAUCUGGUGGUGGGGUUCAUAUGCGAGCUUUGAGUUUGUUUCGUUUCUUGUUUGAGAUGGGCUUGGGAGUUUAACAAUCCGCCUCUUGUAUUUUCUCUU